UGGUUUUGGACCCGUGUCUGCCGGUAGAUCCCCCGUUUUUGUGCGGCCGACUACCGGCGCCGUGUCCCGUCGUUCCUGAGGCUUUGUGUUACCGUUGCCUUUCAAGUGCUUGCGUGCUGGUACCCGAACUAAGGGAAUUGGUGCUACGUACAUGUUGCCUCGCGGUGGGCGCCUUCGGGUGUGCUGCUGCGGCCAAAUGGCGCUUGCGGCGUUGCCUCGUUACGCUGCCACGUUUACGUGGUUGCCGUUAUCAAGGCAACCUCGCUCCUGCUGUUGGUCUUGGAUGUUGCCCACGAUGAAGUCUCAUGGCCCUUUUUGGUUGCCUAGACCCGACCCUAAGAAGCUCUCCGAAUUGAGAACAACCGGAACAUGUGUUGCCUCUACGUAUUCCGCAGUUAGUGGUAUGAUACGCAACAUUUUGCGCCGAUCCUCAAAUAUGUAGGACGAGCUUAGCCCGCUCAAUUGUGACAUCCGGCCCGGGGACCGCUUCUGGCUUGACACGCAAGUGGACGGACGGACGACUCCCGAUGCUGGACGUCAACAAGGA
This 547-nucleotide unclassified non-coding RNA is filed under the name Puccinellia pusilla. Its description in RNAcentral is "partial external transcribed spacer". Lineage: Eukaryota; Viridiplantae; Streptophyta; Magnoliopsida; Poales; Poaceae. The record is from RNAcentral.